This 609-nucleotide long non-coding RNA is filed under the name Oryza brachyantha (malo sina). Its description in RNAcentral is "long non-coding RNA (OBRA_LNC001793)". Lineage: Eukaryota; Viridiplantae; Streptophyta; Magnoliopsida; Poales; Poaceae. The record is from RNAcentral.
ACGGGGCUCGGCGCCGGCGGAAGGGGCGCGGCAACGGCGAACGGGGCGCGCGUUCCGGCGACGAAGGCGGAGCUCUUCACUCUUCAGCUGCUAAGACUAACAAAAAGCUAACAAAAAAGCCUGCGAGGCAUGUGUCUCUUGCAGGGGAGACGAGAAGCUUGUUUGGGGCACAGUUCUAUCCUAGCUGGAGAGGAAUCUGGCUGAGGCUUCUUGACACAUAAUGCAUUGUGCAUGGCCUCAGGUCGGCCAGGCGAGAGAUCCAGGCCAAUCCGAUCCGCGCGCCCCCGCGGUCGGGGGGUGGAUGUCGUUGUUUUUGCCUGCCUGCUGCGGCGCGCCGGUGCCGCGGCGGCGUCAGCAGCAGCAGGCAGGAAACGGCCGGUCUCUUCCGUGUGCGCAAUUAAUUCCGGGCGGUUUUUCGGAUCAGAUCGAUGUCGUUUUCUUUAAGGUCUGGUUCACUGGGUGGAGAUUACUACCUUGUUCUAAUCACGCGUACACGACUAAAAAUCUUUUAAUGUAGCAUGACUGUAAUACUCCAUAUUUCUCUUAUUUGAGAUAGUUAACUUUUGAAUUAUAUUUGAUAAUUUAUUUUAUUUAAUAUUUUCUUUAUAA